ACCCAUGUGGUCGAGUGAGAGGU
Molecule: non-coding RNA, 23 nt
Filed under: Arabidopsis thaliana (thale cress)
Lineage: Eukaryota; Viridiplantae; Streptophyta; Magnoliopsida; Brassicales; Brassicaceae
Source: RNAcentral